GAAGGUAGUAAAAUGUAUUAGAAUAGAAGAGAUGCAUAUAGAAAAUUGUAGGAGAGAGUUUAGCGCUUCACACUUAACAUUUUGGAUCGAUAAAUUGAGACUCUUGGAUGAUUACAAUCCCACAACACUACAAUCUCAACACCAAGAUUAAGAUGAUAUUUACUCUACAUUAGUAAAUACUUUAACGAGUUACAAAUCACGAAGAGAUGGAACCAUGCGUCAACUGUGCAGGAACCAUUCACUUCUUCUCCGACGCUGAUGCUUUGGAGAGCAAGAGGACCCUCCCAAGGAUCCUGAAAACGCUGCACCUCAUCACGACCUUCUCUUUCUCCUCCGGCGGCUGUCGUCGUCGGCUUCUUCCACCGCGCCUGCCUUCUCGGCUGCGUAGCUGGCUUUGGUCCCUCGCCGCAACGGCCGCAGCUGCCUCGUACACCAUCGCUGCUACAGCCUACAGCUAGCUGCCACGCCCUUGCCUUGUUUGCUGAGGCGCCUGAUGGUGAGCUAUUUGUAUUUGUAGGUAAGGAGGAAAAGAGAGUGACACGGGAUGACGGGAGGCAAGGAAGGAGGGAUCCAGGAACAUGUGCAGACUUGGCAGCUACGGAACUGGGUGCUGUCACUGUUAGCGGUCAAAGCCUCAAAGGUACGUGUGACAGGGAAUCGAUGCUAUCCCGGCCCGGUCUUGAGGCUGAGGUCUGACCAUCUGAGAUUCUAAAUAAGUGUAUGUGCUCUUACGGAAUUGCUAUAGAUCAUAAGCCACCUUCUAUCUUGUUAGAAAAAUAUAGAAAAUAUCAAUUACAUUUAUAUCUCCUUCAAACAAAUUUAUGAUAAAAAUACAUUUAAUGAUUAAUCUAAUAAUACUUGUUAUACACCAUAAACAUUAAUAUCUUCUUAUAUAUAUUUGGUAAUAAUUUAAAAUAUCUGUGUUUUUUCAAAAGUGGGAAUAAUUUAUUUUAGUGACUAAGGGAGUAGCUUUUAUAAUCUAUGAGCAAGUUUUUCUGACUUUUAUCAGAUUUUGCUUAUUAGAAGCUCUAAUGAUCUAAACGGGUCAAAAUUUUCUCCAUCUUUAACAAUCACUACACCAAAAUAGUAAACUUCCUAGAGCCUUUCGGAAGUUUGGCUCUCGAAAAUUUUUUGUCAGAAGUUAGCUUGUUAGCUAACUUCCUACCGGCUUAAUAAGUCUCUCGGAAGUUAAUAGCUUCACAUCGUCAGCGUCGUCAGCUAACUAACUUCCUACGAGUAACUUCCUACGGCUUACUAUAGCCCUGGCUAACUUCCUACGGCUUACUGUAGCCUCUAGGAAGUUAGCUGGCUAACUUCGUACGGCUUACUAUCGCCCUUAGGAAACUUCCUACGGCUUACUAUCGCCCCUAGGAAGUUAGCUAUUCGUUUGGCUGGUCAACAGAUGAAACUUAACUUCAUAGAGGAGGCCGUAGGAAGCUACGAUGUUUUAACUUCCGACAUUUUUUAUAAAAUACCGUAGAAAGUUAUGUUUAUUUAUUAGAGGUACCAGUUGCCUCUCGGAAAUUAUUUAUUUCCUACGGUUUGUUAUAAAAGUUGUAGGAAGUUAAAAAACCGUAGUAAGUGUAUGAUUUUGGUGUAGUGAAUCUAAGUUUUACAAAUUCGUACAAAGAUUCAAACACCACACAUAAGCUAAAACUAAAAGCCAAAUGAUACGUUUUGUAGUUUUUGUACCACGCUCCAUCCUCUACCCCACAGAGAAAUUAUUGUUAUGUUUUUCAUCAAUUUAUGAAUCUUUUAUAGUAUAUUUGGUUGCGCGAAGAAGAAUGGAGUUAUUUCAUUUCUAUUUUCCGAAUGUUUGAUUUUAACAAAAGGGAAUGUUUGAACAGAUUGACUACGAUCUAUUAUACUCUUCAACCAAAAAAAUAAACAGUUCUGUUCUAUUUAGCAAACGUAAAAUAGAGCAACUCUAUUUUCAAAAAUUAGAAUAGAGCCACUUCAACCAAACGUAACCUUAACAAACAUCUUUUUUUCUAGCCGUCCUAUAUAAACUGGAACUAUGUAAUUUGAGUAUUUCGAAUUAAAAAUGCAAACUAUUUUUAUCUGCAAGGGAGUAAAAAAUGGUACUGCAUGCUGACAGUUUCAGCCUUUUCACUUUUUCGGGGAAACGUACCGCGUUUCAUAUUUCACACAUGUGGCCAGCUCGCCGCAGGCUAAUCGGCUGAUCCUACUACUGUUACGGUUGUUUGCAGCUAACAUAGCCUGACCGGCUCGCCGCAGGCAGUACACACAGCCGAUCAAGCUUAUAUAAUUUAAAAAAAAUUAUACAAAAAUACAAGGCCAUGCUCGGUAAAUGUUUGGAAAAUGCAGAAACUAUGUGAGCUUGUCCACAUGCGGCUUAUUAUCUUAGUUAGACCCUCUCGAACAGCGUGACCUAUAAAAAAUACACUACAAUUUGAAAAUAGGUAUAUUUAUUUAAUUUAGGACACCAACAAAAUAUUCUGCUCCAAUAGUAAAAUCUCAAAUAUAGAUUAUAGGGCAGCUCACUACGAUAUAGUAUAUUUUAGGCACUUGAGAGUGUGCCCUAUAAUUUUUUGAUCAAAUUUCAUAAAAUAAGACAUUAUUGGAGUAGUUUUUUUUUUCUGCGUAGAGCCCUAUAUUUCAAUUUAAGACACCAAUUUGAGACAUUAUUGGAAAUGCUCUUAUAGGGAGGGGUCGUAAGAGCAUCUCCAAGAGCAUAGAUAUAAUCCUAGUUAAAAUUAGAGUCUUGUUGGGGGUAUGCUUCGUCGCCGAAGAUCCUGUAAGAAGAAUCACCUUCGAAAGAUCCUCUCAAAAGCAGUGCCGAAGCUAUCACCCAUAAAGCUUCGGCAUAGUGACAUGUCUCAAGACGAAGGAGUGAACCGACUUAAAGAUGAAAUGACCAAUCGACCCGUGAUAGCUUGUAAUAUGAUUGUAAGCAUUUGUAAAGGGCAUGAAUGUAAUUUCUCACAGGCUCCGUCUUGUGUCUAUAAAUAGAUGAACAGUACCUCUGUACUGUUCAUGCAAUCUUGUAAUCGCUUGCACGCGACACUCGGAUUAUUGCCUUCUAUCAACACGAAGGUAUAAAUGUGAUUAAAUGUUAUGUUUUAAUAUUUAAGUUUGUAUGAUGAAAUAUAUGAACAAGUUUAUGUGUUUUGAUAUAUUAUUCUUUCAUGUUUCAUAUUUUAUAUAUUUUAUCUUUCAUUAUUUCAUAAUUCUAGUCACGAAGUUAUGACCUUCGUGACUUUUGUUCAUGACAUUCGUCCGAAGAUCAUUAUACCCUUGAGGAAAUAAUGCUUCAAUGGACAAAGGGCAUUAAAAUUUAACAUUUUAUGUUGCCUUGUUCUUAGUUCCAAGCUUUUGAGAACAAGUUCCCAACAUUGGCGCCCACCUCCGGUGAACUCACUUCCACUUUUUGAGCUGAUGGCUUCGUUCAACAACCAAGCUGAAGCUGCUUCGGCUAUGAAGCUGGUGCUCCCGAUAAAAGUCGGUUCAUGCUCAGAGCCGGCCAACAAGAAGCAGAAGGAGGAGGCCCAGAGAAGGGUACAACAUGUUGGGGUGCAGGGACCCUUCAUCAAGUCAAAAUGGUCUCACAUCCCAAUUACCUUCUCCCAAGAGGACCUUCAGCUCAAGGAUUACCCCCACAAUGAUGCUAUGGUCAUAUCUUGUGUCAUCAAGGGAUUUCUAGUCCAUAAUAUUCUGGUUGAUACAGGCAGUGCAACGGAUAUCAUAUUUGCUAAGGCCUUCAGACAGAUGCAAGAGCCAGAGGAUACGAUCCAUGAUGCCACACACCCUCUCUGUGGUUUCUGAGGAAGGCAUAUUGUAGCACUUGGCAAGAUCACAAUGCUAGUGACCUUCGGAUUUGUCCACAAUACAAGAACUGAACAGGUUGUGUUUGAUAUUGUUGACAUGGAAUAUCCCUACAAUGCAAUCAUUGGUCGUAGAACACUCAAUGCAUUUGAAGAAAUUCUUCAUCCAGCAUAUCUAUGCAUGAAGAUACCUUCGGAUCAAGGGCCCAUUGCUAUUCAUAGAAGUCAGGAAGCUGCCAGAAAGGCUGAAGGAAAUUGGACAGACUCAAAAGCAAUCCACAAUAUAGAUGGAGCCGAAGCUUGUGAAUAGUAUAAGUAUAGAAGAGAGAAGGCUGCUUUGGCUAAUCAGCCGAAGCCCAUGCUUCUAUGUGAAGACAUAGCAGAGCAGAAGGUAUUGCUGGGAUCCCAAUUAUCUGAAGACCAAAACAAGACCUUGAUAAGGUUUUUAUUCAACAACAAAGAUGUUUUUGCAUGGUCAGCCAACGAUCUCUGUGGUGUCAACAGGGACGUCAUUGAACAUUCACUCAAUGUCGAUCCAUCCUUCCGACCCAGGAAACAAAAGCUUCGGAAAAUGUCUGACGAUAAAGCCGAAGGUGCUCGGAACGAAGUAAAAAGACUUCUCAGUGCUGGUGUCAUCAGAGAAGUGAAAUACCCAGAAUGGCUAGCCAACACUGUUAUGGUGAAGAAGGCCAAUGGUAAAUGGAGAAUGUGCAUUGAUUUUACUGAUCUGAACAAGGCUUGUCCAAAGGAUGAGUUCCCAUUACCAAGAAUAGAUUCUCUAGUAGAUGCAGCAGCUUCGUCAGAGCUCAUGAGUUUGCUAGAUUGUUAUUCAGGCUACCACCAAAUCUGGAUGAAGAAGGAAGAUGAGCCAAAGACCAGCUUCAUAACCCCCAGUGGUACAUAUUGUUAUCUUCGGAUGCCUGAGGGGCUCAAGAAUGCUAGAGGAAGCUUCAGCAGGAUGACAGCCAAGGUCCUUCACUCUCAAAUAGGCAGAAAUGUGCUAACAUAUGUUGAUGACAUUAUAGUGAAGAGCACGAAGCAAGAAAACCACAUUACUUAUCUGCAAGAAACAUUUGCUAAUUUUAGGCAAGCUGACCUGAAAUUAAAUCCAGAAAAAUGUGUCUUCGAAGUAAAGAAGGGCAAGUUCCUUGGCUGUCUAGUUUCAACGAAGGAGAUCGAAGCCAACCCAAGCAAGAUCGAAGCUAUCAUUCGAAUGGAGCCGCCAAGCACAAAGAAGGGGGCCCAACGGCUGACAGGAAGACUGGCAUCUUUGAAUCGAUUUAUAUCUAGAUCAGUAGAAAGAAAUUUACCAUUCUUUGAAGUACUAAAGUCAGCUGAAUUUUUCAAUGGGGCUCAACUCAACAGAAAGCUUUCGAAGAGCUGAAGUAAUAUCUGAUCGAUUUAACAACAUUAACUCCACCCGUGCUAGGGGCUCCAUUGCUAUUGUAUGUGGCAGCUUCGCACUCUGCAGUGAGUGCGGCACUUGUACAAGAGAAGCUCGAAGGACAAGCUAAAAAGCAAGUCCUAGUAUAUUUUGUCUCCAAAGUUUUGAGUUUAUCAAAGAAAAACUAUACAGAAUUGGAGAAGGUGUUGUAUGCUGUAUUAAUGGCGUCCAGGAAGCUUCGGCAUUAUUUUUAAGCAUAUCACAUAAUUGUUCCUUCAUCACAACCCCUGAAGGAUAUCAUGAGGAAUAGAGAAGCUACUGGAAGCAUUGGAAAAUUGGCUGCGGAGCUUAAUGAAUUCACUAUUGACUACGUGCACAGAUCUUCAAUUCAAUCUCAAGCGCUAGCAGAUUUCAUCGCUGAUUGGACGCCUGGGGCUCACGAAGAAGGGACAAGUAAAGAUGCCGAAGCUUAGACAGUAUUUUGCGAUGGUUCUUGGGGAGCCUUCGGUGCAGGAGCAGCUAUGGUCCUAGUGGCUGUAACACCCACUUUGUAAAUUGCUAGAAAUAAUACCAAUAGAGAAACAUUUUCUCUUUAUGAGAGUCGACCUUUAUGCAUCAUCACAUGUGAACACCCUAUGUAAAAAGAAAAACAAGUAAUUAAUACCAUAAAAGCCACAAAAAUAUGCAUCAUGCUGGAAUUUUAUCUUGUGUGCAUUUUGUGACAAUAUAGAAUAAUGUGAAAUAUACCCAAGUCCAAAGUAGAAUUUAAGAAUCAAAGGGAAAUUCAAGAAUUUAAAAUAAGAGGAAGAAAGAGAGAAAUGAUAUAAGAAUACAAAUGAUAUAUAAAUAAAUCUCCAAAUUUGCAACUUCUUUAUGGCGCCAUGUAAUCUAAGUAUAAAUCUGUCACAAGUUUGAAUUCAAAUUAGGAUUUAAAUUUGAAUUGGUAAAAUAAUGGGGAAAAUAGAAAAUAAAACAUAAAAGAAAAAGAGAAAGAAGCUUACCUGGGCCGCAGACCAGCUUUCGGCCCACUUCUGAAUCCAUGCCACACAGCCCAGCUUCAAGGAUCGGCGCCGACACCGCGGGGCCCGCUUGUCAUCCGCUCUGCGCUUGCGUUCCCUUUACUCGGACGCUGACGUUGGGGCCCCUGCGUCGGACUGACCUGCGCUUGCACAUUCUCGCUGCCGAGUGGGCCCACCUCGUCAGCUCGAUCUCCUCCCCGCGGACUCCACGCAACAGAAAGACCGCCACGGCCGCGUCCGCCGCAAUCCAGGGACCCAACGACCUCUCCGCGAUUCGCUCGGCGCAAUCCGACUGUGCUACACCUUUUAUAGCUCGGUCAACCCCUCCUUCCUUCCCCUUCUUCUCAUCCACGCCUUACGCGUAGCCGCCACUGCCGCCAACCCUGCGUCUCGGCGCUAUCUCGCCACUGCCACCAUUGAGCCACCCAUUCGGUCCGGAACGCUUCGGGCUAAUUCACUGUUGGUGUACCCAGGCUCGUCGGGCGGAAUCGACACCAGAGAGCCCACGAAUUCGUCGCCGUGGAAGCAGAUUGCCGCCGCCGUGUGCAUCUACGUCGUGAGAAGAGAGACCGAGGAGAGAGUGAGAGAGAGGUUGGUGAUCCUCGCGUCUCGGGGAAGACGUGCGCCUCAUCAAAUCGAGCGGAGUUCACCGGAGCCCUGGGUAAUUGCUCGCUGUCAAUGGCGAAAUUCGGAUCUUCCGCCUUGCGCCGAGGACGGGAUACCUGGGAGCUUAAUCAGUGGUAUAACUACUAUUCCCAUGUUCGUCGCUUUCUCCUCUCCGUUUUAGCGCACAUUCGCGGUAGUUUGGUGCUCCCUGAGGGAGGGUGGCGCUCGGAUUCGUGGCCGGCGGCGCCACCGUCGUGCGCUGGUGCGUAGGUAGAAGAAACCCCCUGGCCACUCGAUCGGCUAUGGGCGGUUUGGAUUGAAUCUUGCUGGGUGCGUUGUUAACCAUAGAUCUUAGAUCGUACGAUCGUGAUUGCGUACUGACUCGGAUGAGCUUCGAGUUAACUGUGAGCGUCCGAUCUUGAUCCCACGGUGGGUUCAUCAUACCCCUUUCAUAAAAGCCACGGCCUAAUCCGGGCCGUCCAGAAUUGAUCCAGCGGCCCAGAUAUUGCAAUACCCCUUCGCCCGAGACUUCUGCUAAAGAGACCCUGAGUUUUAGAGAAACAAACCCGUAGUCCUACGCUAGGUGAACUGAGUCAUAGGAAUUCUUGCGCAAAAGACCCUGUGCUUUCCUGUAGUUGAGGCCCAGUCCAGGAAUCGUUUAAAUUGAAUAAAUAAAAUAGAAAAUGGAUUUUUAAUGAGAAGAUAAUUACUAGAACUUCAAUAUUUCAUAGAAAAUGCAUAUGAACCCCAAAUUACUUCAUUCCAGUUGCUAAAAUUUUGUAAUAUUAUUCCCUACCACUUAGAGCCUCUGUUUUGUCAUGAAAACAAUAAGAAAUUUAAUCUCUCACUUAAUCCUAUCCUAAACACAUAAAGCCUUUAAAAAUUCAUAUCUUAAAAUCUAUAACUCCAAAAAUUAUUAUUUCUGUUCCUAGGAUUUUAUUUUAUUGAGUAGAAUAUUUCUGUGUAUUUUGUUCACAUGCUUGGUGUGAUGUUAAUUUUCCCUGCAUAUUGUGCUUGUUUGUAUUGUGGCGAGUAGAAGAGCACACGACCGAGGAUCCUGGUGAGCAGCAGGUUGAAGUAGCUGAGCAGGAGCUCAUUGAAGGCAAGUUGUGCCCUUGACCACUUUUUACCCAAUAAUGUUCUUUGAUAUCAUUUAUCCAUGCAUAGGUUAAUUUUGAUGGGACCCGAUAGGUCAUCCUAGAUUGUUUAUCUCAUUACCUUGUUUACCCCUGAAUCACUUGGGUAGUUUGCUAUUGCUUUACAUGGUUUUGGGAUAAUCAUUUAUUAUAUCUAUGUUCCAAUUAUUCUUGUUAUUUUAUUUAUGUUCAUGUCAAGAUCAUUAAUGUUAAUUGGAACAUAGAGCUUAACUUGAGAACCACGUGCCACCACAAGGGUUUAAUGGGACGCGCUUGGCUGACUAAUUGGGAAAGCUAGUGGAAGACUACCUUACCCGAAAGGGGCAAGGGCAGUAGGGGAGUGGUCAGUGUAGGGAGGUCCUUGGUUGAUUUUGCUGCGAUGGCGGUCAGACAAGAACCCUGCAUUGGAGCUUCCUAUAAACUGUAGCGGGUUUUCGGAAGCUAGUGGAACUUUGUAAAGGCCUCGUAGUGUUGCCCUGCUGCGCUUCCUAGGUAGAGGUGUAUGGGAUUCGUGACCCCUUGGCAGAUGGGUAGCAUGACUUGUGGGUAAAGGGUACAACCUCUGCAGAGUGUAAAACUGGUAUACUAGCCGAGCUCACGGUCAUGAGCAGCUCAGGACUCUCUGAUGAUUAAAUUAUGGAACUUAAAUUCAAUUUGUCAUUCGCAUAUGCAUGGAAUUAUUAUUAAUUUGUUCUAUUACUUUAUUUAAGGUUUGGUAUUUACUUACACUUAGUAAUUGCUAAUAAAAUUUUGACCAACUACUUAAAAGCAAUGCUCAGCUUUAACCAUUCUCUUUGAUAAGCCUUACACUCCAUGAGCUCCCACCUUUGGUGAGUUCAUGUCACAUUAUUCCCCACGACUUGUUGAGCGAUGAACGUAUGUGAGCUCACUCUUGCUGUCUCACACCCCCCCACAGGAGAAGAGCAGGUGGUUCAGGAGGAGCCACAAGGCGAGGAGUUUGAUCUGAUCUAGGUGGCGUUUCUCAGUUGACAUUGGCGCCGACGAUCCUUAGUUCGUUUUAUGUUUAUUCUUUUAUUUUGUAAUAAGUCUUCCGCUAUGUAAUAAAUACUCUGAUGUUUUAUGACAUUUGUCUCUAUACACUCUGUUAUUAUAUAUGUUGUCUUCUUGGCGCAUGUAUGAGAUGCAUCUGGCUUUGUUCCUUAAAGCCGGGUGUGACAGAAGUGGUAUCAGAGGAAAUGUUGACUGUAGGACGAAACCUAGAUAGAAGUGGACAAAACCCUUACUUACUUACUUACCUUACUCUGAUUCUUUCUAUACUUAUCUUGAUCCUGUCUCACCUUAUACUGUUCUACUCUGAUUAUUCUUACCCUCUCUACUCUGAGACAAGAUGGAUUUCACACCUUGAAUCCUACAUUUAUGACCUUCUUAAGAGAUAGGGAACCUAAGACAAGAAUAAAACUAUUUUUCUUUAUUUUAAAAUAUUAGUUGAUUGUUCUGAUGAUCAAUGCCUGAUUUGCUUCUUUGAUUGAUUGAAAUAGUAUAGAUAGGCAUCUUAGCAUGUACCACCAUAAGGUAAUAUAAUAGCUUUAGUAGGUGACACGCUAAUCUACUUAGCUAAUAAAUCCCCCGUAGUAACAAUUCCUCGUAAUUACUCGCCUUGUCUACAAUUCUUCAUUUCUUACCCUAUGUUUCUAACCCAGAUGGGCUACCCCUAUAUUGUUAGAAGAGAAGCAGUAUAGACGUGAUCCUUGGUAUGUCAUGGUUAAGAAAGGCAAAGGUUGUUUAUACACUGUGCUAAAGGAACCAUAGAACUCACCAGUUCCAAAGGAGAAAGAUUUGAAGUUGGAAUUGCAGUAACUACCGCCACCAAACUAGCGGCAUUCUUAGUCGAUUGGAAGUUUGUUGGUGACAACAUCCGUAUGGUUAAGGAUUUUCCGGAUGUCUCUCCAGAGGAGUUACCAAGGAUGCCACCAGAUAGGGAAGUUGAGUUUGUUAUUGAUCUCUUACCUGGGACUGCCCCUACUUUCAAACGGCCAUACAGGAUGUUUGUAGAAGAACUAAAGGAACUUAAGAAGCAAUUAAUGGAAUUACAAGAGGCUGGGUACAUUCGUCCGAGUUCCUCACCUUGGGGAGCACCAGUUUUGUUUGUACAGAAGAAGGAUGGAUCACAGCGGAUGUGUGUGGAUUAUAGAUCCCUUAAUGAUGUUACUGUGAAGAACAAGUAUCCAUUGCCCCGUAUUGAGGAUUUAUUUGACCAGAUGAGAGGUGCUAGAGUAUUUUCGAAGAUUGAUCUCCGAUCCGGUUACCAUCAGAUGAGGAUUAGACCAUCGGAUAUUCCCAAGACGGCUUUCUCGACUCGAUAUGGAUUAUAUGAGUUUACUGUUAUGUCGUUUGGAUUAACCAAUGCACCAACUUAUUUUAUGAACUUGAUGAAUAAGGUGUUUAUGGAGUAUUUGGACAGAUUCGUCAUGGUAUUCAUCGACGAUAUUCUUAUCUAUUCCCGGAGCGAUAGUGAUCACGAGGAACAUCUGAGAUUGGUGCUGCAGAAGCUACGAGAUAACCAGCUAUAUGCCAAGUUCAGCAAGUGCGGAUUUUGGAUUGGUGAGGUGCCAUUUCUUGGUCAUAUUAUUUCUAAUGGAGGAAUUUUAGUGGAUCCUGCUAAGGUUAAGGAGAUAAUGGAGUGGAGAGUACCCACUACAGUUACUGAGAUUCGGAGUUUCUUGGGAUUAGCAGAAUAUUAUCGGAGAUUUAUUGAAGGAUUUUCUAAGAUUGCUAAGCCUAUGACCUCGCUUCUGGAGAAGGGCCAAGAAUUUAAGUGGGACGAGAAGUGCCAAGGCAGCUUUGAUCAAUUGAAGAAGAGAUUGAUGUCACCACCAGUGUUGGUUAUGCCAGAUCUACAGAAGGAAUUUGAUAUUUUAUGUGAUGCCUGCGGCCAAGGCUUGGGAUGUGCACUUAUGCGAGAAGGACACGUGAUUGCUUACAUGUCUCGUUAGUUGCGGAAACAUGAAUUGAAUUACCCCACUCAUGACUUAGAACUGGCAGCCGUUGUGCAUGCGCUUAAGAUAUGGAGACAUUAUACUAUGGGAACAAAGUGUCAAGUGUAUACGGAUCAUAAGAGUUUAAAGUAUAUAUUCACUCAGAAGGAUCUCAACCUUAGGCAACGCCGUUGGUUGAAGCUUAUUAAGGAUUAUGAUUUGGAGAUUCACUAUCACCCGGGCAAGGCAAAUUUGGUUGCAGAUGCCUUGAGUCGAAAGGAGCAUGUUCAUUCAGCUAUUGUUGCCCAGCUACCCGAUGAGAUUGUUGAGGAUUUCAGGAGACUUAACCUGGGGAUAGUUGCUCACACUGAAGGAGUUACUAUUGAUGUGGAACCUACCUUGGAGCAAGAGAUCCGCAAAGGCCAAAUUGGUGAUGCAAAAAUACAAGAGAUUAAGGAUCUGAUUACUGAAGGUCGAGUUCUAGAAUUUACGGAAGAUGAGCAAGGCACCGUAUGGUUCAAGGACAGGAUGUGUGUUCCUGAUAUUGAAAGCCUUCGAGAGACUAUUUUAAAAGAGGCCCAUGAUUCGGAUUAUUCUAUUCAUCCUGGUAGUACCAAGAUGUAUCAGGAUUUGAAGCGGAAAUAUUGGUGGUAUGGAUUGAAGAGAGAUGUAGCUGCACAUGUGGCUAUGUGCGAUGUAUGUCAAAGAGUUAAGGCUGAACACCAGAGGCCAGCUGGACUACUGCAUCCACUGAAGAUACCCGAGUGGAAGUGGGAAGAGAUUGGUAUGGAUUUCAUUACUGGAUUGCCUCGCACCCAGAAAGGAUAUGAUGCUAUAUGGGUGAUUGUGGAUAGAUUGACUAAAGUGGCUCACUUUAUUCCUGUCAAGACUACUUAUAAAGGUUCUCAGCUAGCAGAGUUAUAUAUGGCUCGGAUUGUGUGUUUACACGGAGUACCAAAGAAGAUCGUGUCUGAUCGAGGUUCACAGUUUACCUCAAGAUUUUGGAGAAGCUUUCAUGAGAACAUGAGUACAAAGAUGAAUUUUAGUAUAGCUUAUCACCCUCAGACUGAUGGACAGACUGAAAGGACCAAUCAAGUUUUGGAAGAUAUGUUGAGAGCUUGUGCCCUUCAGUAUGGAGGAAGUUAGGAUAAAAGUCUACCAUAUGCUGAGUUCUCAUAUAAUAAUAGUUAUCAGGCCAGUCUGAAGAUGUCACCUUUUGAAGCUUUAUAUGGGAGGAAGUGCAGGACUCCUUUGUAUUGGGAUCAGACUGGAGAAAGACAAUUCUUUGGGCCUGAACUGAUUCAAGAAGCAGAAGAACAAGUUCGUAUAAUUCGAGAGAAUUUGAGAGUGGCUCAAACCAGGCAAAAGAGCUACGCAGAUAAUAGAAGAAGACCACUGGAAUUUGAAGAAGGAGAUUAUGUGUAUCUCAAGGUGUCACCGCUUCGUGGAAUGAGGAGAUUCAAAGUCAAGGGCAAAUUGUCCCCUCGUUAUAUUGGACCAUUCCUGAUCUUUAGAAGAGUUGGGGAGAUGGCAUACCAACUCGAGUUACCUGCUAGUCUAUCGGAUGUGCAUAAUGUGUUCCACGUGUCUCAGCUCAAGAAGUGUCUCCGUGUACCUGAAGAGCAGUUGCCAAUGGAGGACCUUAGUGUUCAAGAAGAUUUGACUUAUGCUGAGUACCCCAUCAAGAUUUUGGAUACUUUUACUCGAGUCACGAGGAAUAAGGUUAUAAAGAUGUGCAAAGUUCAAUGGAGUCACCACGGAGAAGAUGAAGCAACUUGGGAAAGAGAAGAAGAGCUUCGCAUCGAUUUUCCCCAUCUUUUCCCUAGAUCUUCCUAAAUCUCGAGGACGAGAUUAUUUUUAAGGGGGGUAGGAUUUGUAACACCCACUUUGUAAAUUGCUAGAAAUAAUACCAAUAGAGAAACAUUUUCUCUUUAUGAGAGUCGACCUUUAUGCAUCAUCACAUGUGAACACCCUAUGUAAAAAGAAAAACAAGUAAUUAAUACCAUAAAAGCCACAAAAAUAUGCAUCAUGCUGGAAUUUUAUCUUGUGUGCAUUUUGUGACAAUAUAGAAUAAUGUGAAAUAUACCCAAGUCCAAAGUAGAAUUUAAGAAUCAAAGGGAAAUUCAAGAAUUUAAAAUAAGAGGAAGAAAGAGAGAAAUGAUAUAAGAAUACAAAUGAUAUAUAAAUAAAUCUCCAAAUUUGCAACUUCUUUAUGGCGCCAUGUAAUCUAAGUAUAAAUCUGUCACAAGUUUGAAUUCAAAUUAGGAUUUAAAUUUGAAUUGGUAAAAUAAUGGGGAAAAUAGAAAAUAAAACAUAAAAGAAAAAGAGAAAGAAGCUUACCUGGGCCGCAGACCAGCUUUCGGCCCACUUCUGAAUCCAUGCCGCACAGCCCAGCUUCAAGGAUCGGCGCCGACACCGCGGGGCCCGCUUGUCAUCCGCUCUGCGCUUGCGUUCCCUUUACUCGGACGCUGACGUUGGGGCCCCUGCGUUGGACUCACCUGCGCUUGCACAUUCUCGCUGCCGAGUGGCCCCUCCUCGUCAGCUCGAUCUCCUCCCCGCGGACUCCACGCAACAGAAAGACCGCCACGGCCGAGUCCGCCGCAAUCCAGGGACCCAAUGACCUCUCCGCGAUUCGCUCGGCGCAAUCCGACUGUGCUACACCUUUUAUAGCUCGGUCAACCCCUCCUUCCUUCCCCUUCUUCUCAUCCACGCCUUACGCGUAGCCGCCACUGCCGCCAACCCUGCGUCUCGGCGCUAUCUCGCCACUGCCACCAUUGAGCCACCUAUUCGGUCCAGAACGCUUCGGGCUAAUUCACUGUUGGUGUACCCAGGCUCGUCGGGCGGAAUCGACACCAGAGAGCCCACGAAUUCGUCGCCGUGGAAGCAGAUUGCCGCCGCCGUGUGCAUCUACGUCGUGAGAAGAGAGACCGAGGAGAGAGUGAGAGAGAGGUUGGUGAUCCUCGCGUCUCGGGGAAGACGUGCGCCUCAUCAAAUCGAGCGGAGUUCACCGGAGCCCUGGGUAAUUGCUCGCUGUCAAUGGCGAAAUUCGGAUCUUCCGCCUUGCGCCGAGGACGGGAUACCUGGGAGCUUAAUCAGUGGUAUAACUACUAUUCCCAUGUUCGUCGCUUUCUCCUCUCCGUUUUAGCGCACAUUCGCGGUAGUUUGGUGCUCCCUGAGGGAGGGUGGCGCUCGGAUUCGUGGCCGGCGGCGCCAUCGUCGUGCGCUGGUGCGUAGGUAGAAGAAACCCCCUGGCCACUCGAUCGACUAUGGGCGGUUUGGAUUGAAUCUUGCUGGGUGCAUUGUUAACCAUAGAUCUUAGAUCGUACCAUCGUGAUUGCGUACUGACUCGGAUGAGCUUCGAGUUAACUGUGAGCGUCCGAUCUUGAUCCCACGGUGGGUUCAUCAUACCCCUUUCAUAAAAGCCACGGCCUAAUCCGGGCCAUCCAGAAUUGAUCCAGCGGCCCAGAUAUUGCAAUACCCCUUCGCCCGAGAGUUUUGCUAAAGAGACCCUGAGUUUUAGAGAAACAAACCCGCAGUCCUACGCUGGGUGAACUGAGUCAUAGGAAUUCUUGCGCAAAAGACCCUGUGCUUUCCUGUAGUUGAGGCCCAGUCCAGGAAUCGUUUAAAUUGAAUAAAUAAAAUAGAAAAUGGAUUUUUAAUGAGAAGAUAAUUACUAGAACUUCAAUAUUUCAUAGAAAAUGCAUAUGAACCCCAAAUUACUUCAUUCCAGUUGCUAAAAUUUUGUAAUAUUAUUCCCUACCACUUAGAGCCUCUGUUUUGUCAUGAAAACAAUAAGAAAUUUAAUCUCUCACUUAAUCCUAUUCUAAACACAUAAAGCCUUUGAAAAUUCAUAUCUUAAAAUCUAUAACUCCAAAAAAUAUGAUUUCUGUUCCUAGGAUUUUAUUUUAUUGAGUAGAAUAUUUCUGUGUAUUUUGUUCACAUGCUUGGUGUGAUGUUAAUUUUCCCUGCAUAUUGUACUUGUUUGUAUUGUGGCGAGUAGAAGAGCACGUGACCGAGGAUCCUGGUGAGCAGCAGGUUGAAGUAGCUGAGCAGGAGCUCAUUGAAGGCAAGUUGUGCCCUUGAACACUUUUUACCCAAUAAUGUUCUUUGAUAUCAUUUAUCCAUGCAUAGGUUAAUUUUGAUGGGACCCGAUAGGUCAUCCUAGAUUGUUUAUCUCAUUACCUUGUUUACCCCUGAAUCACUUGGGUAGUUUGCUAUUGCUUUACAUGGUUUUGGGAUAAUCAUUUAUUAUAUCUAUGUUCCAAUUAUUCUUGUUAUUUUAUUUAUGUUCAUGUCAAGAUCAUUAAUGUUAAUUGGAACAUAGAGCUUAACUUGAGAACCACGUGCCACCACAAGGGUUUAAUGGGACGCCCUUGGCUGACUAAUUAGGAAAGCUAGUGGAAGACUACCAUACCCGAAAGGGGCAAGGGCAGUAGGGGAGUGGUCAGUGUAGGGAGGUCCUUGGAUGAUUUUGCUGCGAUGGCGGUCAGACAAGAACCCUGCAUUGGAGCUUCCUAUAAACUGUAGCAGGUUUUCGGAAGCUAGUGGAACUUUGUAAAGGCCUCGUAGUGUUGCCCUGCCGCGCUUCCUAGGUAGAGGUGUAUGGGAUUCGCGACCCCUUGGCAGAUGGGUAGCAUGACUUGUGGGUAAAGGGUACAACCUCUGCAGAGUGUAAAACUGGUAUACUAGCCGAGCUCACGGUCAUGAGCAGCUCAGGACUCUCUGAUGAUUAAAUUAUGGAACUUAAAUUCAAUUUGUCAUUCGCAUAUGCAUGGAAUUAUUAUUAAUUUGUUCUAUUACUUUAUUUAAGGUUUGGUAUUUACUUACACUUAGUAAUUGCUAAUAAAAUUUUGACCAACUACUUAAAAGCAAUGCUCAGCUUUAACCAUUCUCUUUGAUAAGCCUUACACUCCAUGAGCUCCCACCUUUGGUGAGUUCAUGUCACAUUAUUCCCCACGACUUGUUGAGCGAUGAACGUAUGUGAGCUCACUCUUGCUGUCUCACACCCCCCACAGGAGAAGAGCAGGUGGUUCAGGAGGAGCCACAAGGCGAGGAGUUUGAUCUAAUCUAGGUGGCGUUUCUCAGUUGACAUUGGCGCCGACGAUCCUUAGUUCGUUUUAUGUUUAUUCUUUUAUUUUGUAAUAAGUCUUCCGCUAUGUAAUAAAUACUCUGAUGUUUUAUGACAUUUGUCUCUAUACACUCUGUUAUUAUAUAUAUUGACUUCUUGGCGCAUGUAUGAGAUGCACCUGGCUUUGUUCCUUAAAGUCGGGUGUGACAGUGGCACCUUCAAAAGUCAAAACAUGUUAUGAAGUCAAACUGGAUUUCAGUUGCACAAAUAAUAUUGCUGAGUACGAAGUAUUUCUAUUGGGGCUUCGGAAACUAAGGGCAAUGGGAAUAAGAAGGGCCAUCCUAAAGACUGAUUCUCAAGUUAUUGCUGGCCAUGUGGAUAAAAGCAGCAAAGCACGAGAUCCGAAGCUUGAAAAAUAUCUGGAUGCAGUUCGAAGGUUGGAAGCUUCCUUCGAAGGUUUUUCCGUCAAAAAUAUUCCAAGAGGUGAAAAUGAGCAUGCAGAUUUGCUAGCCAAAUCAGCGACUUAGGGGCUCCCCCUACCCUCCGAAGUAUUUUUUGAAACAAUAAAAGCACCUUCAGUUGAGCUCAUGGAGAGAGCAGUGCUUACUAUUUCUCCAGUACACAGUGAAGACUGGAGAACUGAGAUAAUAUCUUUUCUCCAAGGCAAUUGUCUUUCAAGUGACGAAGCUUAUAACAAGAGAAUGGAGGCAAGAACAAGACCAUAUGUGUUAAUAGAGGGGAAUUGUAUAAACAUGGAGUUUGUUCACCACUUCUUAAGUGUUUAUCAAGAACUGAAGGUAUUAAAUUAAUGAAAGAGAUACAUGCAGGUCUAUGUGGAUCUCACAUUGGAUCUAGGCCCUUGUUGGGAAAAGUUUUUCGACAAGGAUUUUAUUGGCCGAAGGCAGCUUCGGAUGCAGCAGAAUUAGUCCAAAAAUGUGAAGGCUGUCAAAAAUGUGCAAGAGACCAGAAACAACCUUCAUCUCUCACUCAAUUAAUACAGCCCACUUGGCCUUGCAAAGGUGGGGCCUCGAUUUGCUAGGCCCACUUCCACCAGCACAAGGAAAUCUAAAAUAUGUUGUGGUGGCGGUAGAGUAUUUUUCCAAGUGGAUUGAGGCGAAGCCUUUAGCCACAAUAACUUUGGUCACUGUCUAGAAGUUCUUCUGGCAAAACAUUGUUUAUCGCUUCGGAGUGCUGAAGGCCAUUACUGUAGACAACAGAACACAGUUUGAUGCUGAAGCUUUCAAGGAAUUCUGUGAACAAAUUGGCACAAAGAUUCAUUUUGCAUCGGUCAGACAUCCGGAGUCAAAUGGACUUGUUGAAAGAGCCAAUGGCAUUAUAAUGACGGGAAUAAUGAAGUUAAUCUUCAUUCAGCCCAGAGGAAAGUGGCCAGAUGAAUUGAUCAAAGUGGUGUGGAGCCACAAUACAACAAUAUCAAGGUCAACAGGUUUUACACCAUUCAAACUAUUGUUUGGUGACGAAGCAAUAACCCUAGAAGAAGCUAAGGCAGGAUCAAUAAGAACAGUGGCUUCGGCAGAAGACGAAGCUGAUUAUUCUGUGGCAAAAGAUGCCAUAGAAGGGAUCAGGCUUCAGGCUGUGGAGAAUAUCAAUAAAUACCAAGCUGAAACAAUAAAAUGGUGUGACAGAAAAGUUCGGCUAAAGAACAUUAAGCCAGGGCAUUUGGUACUUCGGAGGGUGGCCAACCCAGAUACAGUAGGCAAGCUACAGCUGAAGUGGGAAGGACCUUUUUUGGUAAUAUCUUCGUCAAGACCCGGUUCUUACAGACUGAAGGAUAUGGACGGCAACGACAUUCCUAGAUCUUGGAAUGCAAAUGAGCUUCGGCGAUAUUAUGUCUAGCUUGAUGUAAUCUCUUUUAUUUUUUCUAUGGCACCCUUUUCCUUUCAAAAGGGGGAGAAAGGUUUUUAAUGGGGCCAUAGCAUGUAAUUUCUCUUUUUCUUAUUCAGCUCUACGAGAGCAAAAUCCCCCAAAUAUGUAAAUGUAAAAACUGAGCAUGCACCAUCGAGUGCAGGGAAAAAGGAAAAAACAGGGAGAAGCUCGAAAGUCGUCCCUAAGGGGAUGCAGAGCGCGACAAAGCUACAAAAAGUCGUUCCUAAGGGAGCGCAACGUAAGUUUUCUGCUCAAAAGUCGUUCCCAAGGGAAUGCAGAGCUUACAACGAAAAGUCAACGCUGAUACCGCCGAAAUAUAAGGCGAAGCGCGGAAAGUCAACGCGAUACCGCCGAAAUAGAAGGCGAAGAAGUUCAAAAGACGUUUCUAAGGGGAUGCAGAACUUACAGCGAAAAGUCAGCGCUGAUACACCGAAAAAUAAGCAGUGAAGCCGAAAAAUAAACGGCAAAGAGACUUCGGUCAUUCCCAAAGGGAAUGAAGGCUAUGGUUGUGGCUUCGUAUGCGUGUGUUUGGGCAUUCAUUUGCACGACACAUUACAUCAUACAUUUGCAUUCAUAAACAUUCAUUUAGACAUACAUAGGAUCAUCAUCAUCAUAACACAGGCGGGUGCUUUGGCUCUAAAGAUAAGGCUUCGGCAAACAGAAAAAGAAGCAGUUUCAUGCUUCGUUGUGUACGAAAAGAAGGGAAGGUGUUUUUCGCCUUCGGCUCAAAAAAUGCUAGUUUUGUCCACAGCAAAGUAGUUCAAUACAUGGACAAAAAGGUAAAGAUAUAUUACAAAGUAUGCACAAAUUUAUAGAGUUAGUAUCUGAUUCUUAAAUUACAAAUAUUUUUUACAAUGAUAUUACAAGAUUUUUCUCUAGAAUUUUUCUAGCAACGUCUUCAGCUUUAACAUCAUUCAGCUUCGCAUCAUCUGAGUUUCGGAUCACCUGUCAAGCUUCGGCUCAUUUUUCUUCAGCAUCAUCAUCCUGUACAUAUUAAAACGGUAUGAGAAAAGUGCAGACUUCAAGGAGAAGGUAAAGUUAUGAAUCUGUUUUUUACCAGCUUAAGGUGGCUUCGAGCUUCGUCGCCAGCCAUUUUUCGCCCGCCUUUUACCCAAAUUUGAGUUAUGAAUCUGUUUCCUAUACUCCAAGCUAGGCUAGGGAUAUCAAUUAAAUCUGUCGGAGACAAGCUAAAAUUUGGUCUAUUGACAAUUUUACCAUGUUCAUAGCCAGGUUUUAUGAAGGCAACAGUUGUGCCCCGAGAAGCUAGCAGAGCGCAGAAAUCGGCGUGUCCACCUAUAACUUCGUCGAGUGCAUCAACUUCGCCCUCAAUAUGUUCGAAGGUUUCUGGCAGGUUCUCAACCGAAGGUCUGAAUUUCUCAGCACCGGCUCCGACCGAGUUGAAAACUUGUUUUAGCCGCUGCAGGCACCGGUUGCUGAAGUCCACGCAUUUUUCUUGAAGUUCUUUCAGUGAUUUCCGCAAAUUUGAAUUUUUCUCAGCUUCAGCUUCGAGUUUGGCUUUGAAAUUUUUCUUUUCCGUGGAGAGUUCACUAUUCAAUCUAGCAAUUUCGGCCUGGGCUUCCGCCAGUGAACCUUCCAUGGUUCGAAGUACGAAGUCUUUCUUUUCUAGAGUAGCCUCAUGGUCUUUUAUCUUCUUCUCCAGGCCCUCAAUUAUAACUUCGUUAUUUUUGUCCUCGAGGUCUUGUUGCAUCCUCAGGACUUUGCUUAGCAGUAAGCUUUGAUAACAUAAGCUUCAUCCGAAAACAAUCUUCAUAUCAAAACAAUGAAAAGUUAAGAAUUUUACCUUAAAGUUAGCAUAAAAUAAGCUACCGGCGAUAUGUUGCCGCUGGUACCUGCUGAGGUCUGCUUCAACCUUUGGGAGGCCAACACUCUUUGAUAUAGUGCCAACAACCUUCGCCCCAGUGUGGUCCCGAAGGCAUCGUAAGCUUUCUUCGUUAACUCCCCCGAAGAGUAGCGCACCUGGUCUGUAUCCGCAAGAUAUAGCAUACUCUUUCAGUUCUUCUUUUUCAGCCUUCGACAAUUCUUGCCCAAGUAUAUCUCGGAAGUUAAAGUCCUCUUCUUCCGAAAUAUCCUCGGCUUUCUCCUUUCCUUUUCCAGCCACUGUGCCUGGGAUCUCUUCAGCGGCUGCAACAGCUUCUUCCGCGGCCGCAUCUAGAAGCAUUGUAUCAAUUUUAGAGAGCGUGGCAUCUAGAUUCACAUCUUCAGUGGUUUCAGCUUCGGCACUUUCGGCUUCGGCGGGUGCAGCUUCGGCAGCAGCAGAGCUCUCAAUAGCUGGAGUCUUUGACGCCGAUGCUAGCGGCGGCGUCUGCUCGAUAACUUCAACUACAUGAAUAAUUCUUCGUUUUUUGGCUCAUCUGGCUUCUUCGCUGCCGAAGGCUCCUUUUCCUUCCGAAAAAGCUUCGUCAGAUGUGGCCCUAGUGGACUUAUCUUGACAGGCAAAGAUUCAGUCAUUACCUUUAAAAUUUCUUCUACAUCGAUAGCAGGAGGUGUUGAAGGAGCUUCAUUCUCAAUUUCAGUUGUUUUUCGUUUCAGAGUCGAAGCUUUCUUUUUCUUCGAAGCAGUUAUCUUCGGCUCAGGGCUUAAUUUUCUUUUCUUCAAAGUUUCUUCAUCCUUUUUCACCAAUUUAGCAGCCUCUUUAUCCAGGACGCUAGCUGAUGUAGCUGAGGUGCCCGAUCUUUCGGCGAGUAGAGAUAAUUCCGAUUUGGCGGAAGAUGACCCUUGCGAUCCGACUACGACGAGCAAGCCCGAGGCGCCAAUGCAAUCGCUGAACCAACUCCCUGUGGUUACCGACCUUGCUGAUGCGAGAUCGGCCUGAUCACGAAGAUCGUUUCCUGUGCGCAAUCGAAGAACGAACAAGAAAAAGAGGCGAGCAAUCUAAUCUAUUACUCGAGGGUGGAGUUCUGAAUACACGAAGACAGCGCAGAUUUGCGCGUGUUCGAGAGUAGCUAAGGCUAACGUAAAACAAAACUCGGGAAAUAAAGGAGGCGCAGCUCCUGAAUAAAUAGAGAGGGGGCGCAGCCCCUAGGGGCGGCCAACCCUAGGUCGUCCAUUAUGGGCCGCAAUUGGGCUGGUCGUCUAUUCUUCCGGGCCUUCGUUCUUUAACAACAUGAUGUAGUUCAAUUCUCUUGCACGGGCCCGAGUCACUGGCCCAGGUGGAAGGGGUGGCGCCUGGGCUAGAGAAGGUGCUGCUGGUGUAGAUGUGCUCGUGUUGGUGUUGAUGUCCGCAUCAUCCUCCCCUUCUUGAACUGAAGUCGUCCUCGACGGCAACUCCUCAUCUUCUCCCGCAUACGGUUUCAAAUCUGCAACAUUAAAACUAGUGGAAACACCAAACUCCGCAGGUAGGUCGAGGGUAUAAGCAUUAUCAUUAAUCUUGGUUAGUAUCUUAAAAGGACCAGCAGCACGAGGCAUCAAUUUAGAACGGCGCAAAGUAGGAAAACGAUCCUUUCUCAAAUGUAACCAAACCAUAUCACCAGGUUCAAAAGUAAUAUGUUUUCUUCCUUUACUACCAGCAACCUGAUUUUUUGCAUUAGUAGCAGCAAUGUUCUGUUUCGUUUGUUCAUGUAUGGUAAUCAUUUGUUCAACAUGUGCAGAAGCAUCUACAUGUGGGGCGUUCGCAGCAUUAAGUGAAAUCAAAUCAAUAGGUGCCCUAGGAAUGUAACCAUAAACAAUCUGGAAAGGGCACAUCUUUGUAGAAGAAUGUGUGGCAUGAUUGUAAGCAAAUUCAACAUGAGGCAAGCAAUCCUCCCAACGUCUCAAAUUCUUGUCUAAAACAGCCCUAAGCAUGGUAGAUAAAGUUCUAUUUACUACCUCAGUUUGUCCAUCAGUUUGAGGGUGACAAGUAGUGCUAAACAACAAUUUAGUUCCCAAUUUAUUCCAAAGAGAUCUCCAAAAAUGGCUUAGAAACUUAGCAUCGCGAUCAGAGACUAUUGUUUUCGGAAUACCAUGUAAACGAAUAAUUUCUCUAAAGAACAAUUCAGCAAUAAUGCUAGCAUCAUCAGUUUUAUGACAAGGUAUAAAGUGAGCCAUUUUAGAGAAUCUAUCAACAACCACAAAAAUACUAUCCCUCCCCUUCUUAGUUCUAGGCAAGCCCAAAACAAAGUCCAUAGAAAUAUCAAGCCAAGGAGAAGAAGGGACAGGCAAAGGCAUAUACAAACCAUGGUUGUUCAACCGUGACUUAGCUUUCUGACAAGUAGUGCAGCGUGCAACAAGGCGCUCCACAUCAGCGCGCAUCCGAGGCCAAAAGAAGUGGGCAGCCAACACCUCAUGUGUCUUGUAGACGCCAAAAUGCCCCAUGAGACCGCCUCCAUGCGCUUCCUGUAACAACAAAAGACGAACCGAGCUAGCUGGAACACACAGCUUGUUAGCGCGAAACAGGAACCCAUCCUGUAUGUGAAAUUUGCCCCAUGGUUUCCCAUUAAUACAAUUGCCGAAAGCAUCUUUAAAAUCAGCAUCGUCAACAUAUUGAUCCUUCACAGUGUCCAAACCAAAGAUUUUAAAAUCUAACUGUGACAGCAUGGUAUAGCGACGAGACAAAGCAUCAGCAAUAACAUUGUCCUUCCCGUUCUUGUGUUUAAUAAUGUAAGGAAAGGACUCAAUGAAUUCUACCCAUUUAGCAUGACGACGGUUCAGAUUUGUUUGGGUACGAAUAUGUUUUAAAGCCUCAUGAUCAGAAUGGAUUAUAAACUCACGAUGCCAAAGAUAGUGCUGCCAUGUAUGCAAAGUGCGCACUAAAGCGUAAAGCUCCUUAUCAUAAGUAGAAUAUUUCAGACUAGCACCGCUUAAUUUUUCACUAAAAUAAGCAACUGGUUUUCCUUCUUGUAACAAAACAGCACCUAGCCCAAUACCGCUAGCAUCGCAUUCAAGCUCAAACACUUUAUUAAAAUCAGGCAAUUGCAAUAGGGGAGCUUGGGUUAACUUAUCUUUCAAAGUGCUGAACGCUACCUCCUGCGAAUCACUCCAAGCAAACGGCACAUCUUUCUUUGUAAGCUCAUGUAGAGGCGCUGCAAUGGAGCUAAAAUCACGAACAAAUCUGCGGUAGAAACCGGCAAGUCCAAGAAAGCUCCGAAUUUGUGUGACCGUCGUCGGUGUAGGCCACUCCCGAAUGGCAGCAAUCUUGCUGCUAUCCACCUCAAUGCCCUGCGGAGUAACCACAUAACCAAGAAACGAGACACGUUGCGUGCAAAAUGUGCACUUUUCCAUGUUACCAAACAAGCGAGCAGCACGCAAAGCGUCAAAAACAGCACGCAAAUGUUCUAAAUGCUCCUCUAUAGACUUGCUGUAAAUAAGGAUAUCAUCGAAAUAAACAACAACAAACAAACCUAUGAAGGCCCGUAGAACUUCGUUCAUUAAACGCAUAAAGGUGCUGGGAGCAUUAGUCAAUCCAAAUGGCAUAACCAACCAUUCAUAUAAACCAAAUUUCGUUUUAAAAGCCGUUUUCCAUUCAUCACCGAGUUUCAUUCUAAUCUGAUGGUAACCGCUACGCAAAUCAACCUUAGAGAAAAUAACGGCGCCACUAAGCUCAUCUAGCAUAUCAUCAAGGCGUGGAAUAGGAUAUCGAUAACGAACUGUGAUGUUAUUAAUAGCACGACAAUCUACGCACAUACGCCAUGACCCAUCUUUCUUUGGAACGAGUAAAACAGGAACCGAGCAAGGGCUAAGAGACUCACGAAUGUAACCCUUAUCAAGCAGCGUCUGCACCUGGCGCUGGAUCUCCUUCGUCUCAUCUGGAUUUGUACGGUACGGGGCGCGGUUCGGAAGAGAAGCGCCGGGGAUGAGAUCGAUCUGAUGCUCAAUGCCACGGAGGGGAGGAAGACCCGGUGGUAAGUCCGUAGGAUAAACAUCAGCAUACUCCUGCAAAAGGUUAACAACAGCAGGGGGUAUAUCCAAAGACGGUGCAUCAUCAAGCGGAACAAGCAUUCGCGAGCAUACAAGUGCAUAACAGGGCAUAUGAGCUUCAUGGAGAUCAUUAAAAUCAGCACGUGUAGCAAGUAAAACAGGAGAGUGCAACUUGAUUUCAGAUUUAAUAGGUGCGGCUGAUGUCGAUUUGACUUGUUGUGCAGUUUUAGCAGCCCUAGUAAGAUCAUCUUUCAAAAUUUGGUCAGGGGUCAUUGGAUGUAUAAUUAUUUUCUGGCCUUUAAACAUGAAAGAAUAAUGAUUUGAACGACCAUGAUGUAAACUAUCAGUAUCAUAUUGCCAAGGUCGACCUAAUAACAAAGAGCAUGCUUCCAUAGGAAUAACAUCGCAAUCAGCAUAAUCAGAAUAAGAACCCAGCGAAAAGGGGACACGUACCGAACGUGUUACCUUUAUUUUACCACCAUCAUUAAGCCAUUGAAUGUGAUACGGAUGUGGAUGUGUGCGAGUGGGCAAGGAUAAUUUCUCUACCAACGCUGUACUUGCCAAAUUGUUGCAGCUGCCACUAUCGAUGAUGAUGCGAAUCGACCGUUCGUGCACGACGCCCUUGGUAUGGAAUAGAGUGUGUCGCUGAUUUUUUUCGGCCUGGGCAACCUGUGUGCUGAGAACACGCUGCACAACAAGACUCUCAUACCUAUCGGCGUCGAUGGGAUCAACGUGGACUUCCUCAUUUUCUGCAUGGUUAGUGGCAAUCAUAGCAUGACUAGUUUCCUCAGAAUCACUGGCUGAAGAGUACUCACCAUUGUCACGUAUAAGCAAGGUACGCUUGUUUGGGCAGUCCCGAAUCAUGUGCCCAAACCCUCUGCAACGAUGGCACUGAAUAUCCCGUGUACGUCCUGUGGAAGAAGCGGCGCCUUUGGCAGGGGGCGCCACUGGCUUGGCCGGCCCUGUGCGCGAUGUAGUGCUAGGCGUAGGAGGUGCAGGGCUGGAAGGAGUUGAGCUGUGUGUUGGACCCCGGCCUGCAAAAGAGUUAGUAUAUGUCUUUGAUCGUCGUCCCUGCACUUCACGUUCAGCUUUGCAAGCAUAUUCAAACAAUGUGGUUAUAUCAAAAUAAUCCUUAUAAUCAAGUAUAUCCUGAAUUUCCCUGUUCAAACCACCACGAAAACGCGCCAUAGCAGCGUCAUCUGACUCAACCAAACCACAACGAAGCAUACCCUUUUGCAACUCCUGGUAAUAUUCCUCAACAGAUUGUGAACCUUGUUGAAAACGCUGCAUUUUGUUAAGCAAAUCACGAGCAUAAUAGGAAGGAACAAAUCUGUGGCGCAUGGCAGUUUUUAAUUGGGUCCAAGUAAUGACACUAUUAAUGGGAAGUUUUUGUUUAUACUCACGCCACCAAAUUAAAGCAAAAUCAGUAAAUUCACUAAUGGCAGCCUUCACUUGGCUAUUAGCAGGAAUAUCAUGGCAUGAAAAUUUCUGUUCUACCUCUAAUUCCCAAUCAAGAUAUGCAGCAGGAUCAUAUUUACCAUUAAAAGAUGGAAUUUUAAAUUUAAUCUUAGAAAAUAAGUCAUUAGGGGGGUGACGAACCACACGACGUGCACGACCACGACGAUCUCCAUCGUCCUGCUCAGUGUCACCGCCGUAUUCUUGCUCCAUCUUUGUGGUCAAUGCAUCAAGGCGUGCCAGGAUGGUGUCGAGUGUGGUGCGAGUCGCCGUUUGAGCAAGGUCAAGUUGGUUGAAACGCUCGGUCGUCGAAGUGAUCGUUGAAUCAAGUCGUUCAUGCAUCGUCCUAAUGUCAGCAGCAAGUCCAUCAACUUGUCCCCUUACUUCCUGCAACUGGGCAUCCACCAUGUCGUGUGCUCCUGCCAUAGUUAGCGCAAACACCAAAAGGAGAAAAACCAACGACAAAAACAGGGGUGUACUGCUCACAAGGCGCUCACACUAGUGCUGUUAUCAAGUUCUUAUCCGUUCUUACCAAGCCACAGUGGUGAACCGCAAUCAACAGGUGGAACCGGUGAAAGAUUGGAUGAGCGAUUGCGUGGAGAAACAGAAACCUGCUCGUCGUAGAAAUAUGUGGAGUUGUGGGUAGGUUGCACUCAAGUCAAGGAUUAGCACGAUCAAACAAUAAUGCAAAGUUGAAUUAUAGUGCAAAACACGAAACUAUAUUGCUGGCCACAGGUGCAAAAGAUGGAUGGAACUAGUAGAAUGGCAGUACCGUAAAUAUUGUACUAGUGAUGCCAAAAAGGCACUAGUAGAAAUCACAGGUGAUUUUGUUUUUCUUUUUUGUAUGAUUUUUUUGAUAUUUUUCUCAGCACAAGAAGCAACAAGAUAGGAGCUAGACGAAGUUUCACCUAAAACAGAGAUCAGAUGUGGUCUACAGAAAAUCAGGAAGUUCUCUGAAAAGCGUGCGAGAACUUUGACAGAUUUUUUUCUUUAUUUUCCUGAAUUUUUUUGACAAUUUUGGCCGGGCUCAGAAUGGUGUCAACAAGCUCCUGUAAAAAUUUCAGAUUUUUUGGACACCCGAGCGAAAAGUUAUGCCCGUUUUACGGAAGGUGCCUCAAGUUAUGUUCUAAACACGACCGGGAUGAAAAACAACUGUAUCCUUUCUCCUUCGUUAUCUUUUUUUUCUGUUUUUUUUUGACGUAACCGAAGGAGAAAAACAAGGAAGCGGCUCGUUGACUCGGUUUGUUUUUUUUUUUUUUUUUUUGACGUAACCGAAGGAGAAAAAUAAGGAAACGAUGUUGACUCGGUUUGUGGCGUGAUCAAACGGGAGAUGGUGGCGGCGCUAGGGUUUGAAUGGUGGAAGAACACAAUGCAACCAGCAACAAAUGACGCGAAAGCACACAAAUUCAACAAUGCAGAUUAUUGAAAGAAAGUGCGAGGCUCAAAAGGGUGCUGGGAUAAGAUCUAACCUGAAUUUUUAUGUGGUUUUGUGGACUGUAGGAAAAAAAACGCUCGAUAAACUCACCGAUCAACCUGGAAAUCUGAUACCAAUUGAUGUAGCUGAGGUGCCCGAUCUUUCGGCGAGUAGAGAUAAUUCCGAUUUGGCGGAAGAUGACCCUUGCGAUCCGACUACGACGAGCAAGCCCGAGGCGCCAAUGCAAUCGCUGAACCAACUCCCUGUGGUUACCGACCUUGCUGAUGCGAGAUCGGCCUGAUCACGAAGAUCGUUUCCUGUGCGCAAUCGAAGAACGAACAAGAAAAAGAGGCGAGCAAUCUAAUCUAUUACUCGAGGGUGGAGUUCUGAAUACACGAAGACAGCGCAGAUUUGCGCGUGUUCGAGAGUAGCUAAGGCUAACGUAAAACAAAACUCGGGAAAUAAAGGAGGCGCAGCUCCUGAAUAAAUAGAGAGGGGGCGCAGCCCCUAGGGGCGGCCAACCCUAGGUCGUCCAUUAUGGGCCGCAAUUGGGCUGGUCGUCUAUUCUUCCGGGCCUUCGUUCUUUAACAACAUGAUGUAGUUCAAUUCUCUUGCACGGGCCCGAGUCACUGGCCCAGGUGGAAGGGGUGGCGCCUGGGCUAGAGAAGGUGCUGCUGGUGUAGAUGUGCUCGUGUUGGUGUUGAUGUCCGCAUCACUAGCAACUCUCUUUCUCUUCUGUCCUUUGGCACCUUUGUCCAGUCGCUCAUAGUCAGGAUACUCAAAGUUCAAAGCAUCCAUCACCCGGUUUAACCUUCGCUUCGGACGAGUGCCGAAGGCUGCAGUCAUUAGUUGAUCUUAUUUUUUUAGAAUAAUUCCCAAGGAUCUCAUUGCACAUAACUUCAAUCGUGUCUAACCUUUCUUGGCAAGGUACUUUAAAGUGUUUCUUGAAUUUAUAAUAAUAGGGCAACCGAACAAGUUCCUUCUUUUUCUUUUCCCCUUUGAGCUUCGGCAUGUCCCAUUCUUUCAAAGUUGGGAACACUCUAAAAGCCAAGAAUUCUUGCACCAGAUCCUUAGUGCCAAUGUGCUCCGCAAUAACUCGAAAUUUGCCCAGUGCAAUUUGGUUUGGACUAUCCGGUUUCAUGUCGCACCGGGGUCUAGUCUCUCCGAAGAUUAAUUCUAAUGGGCUUUGAACCAACUCCUCCUUCUUCUCAUCAACUUUGACAUAAAACCAUUCAGUCUUCCAGCCAGCUGGCCACUUGGUACGAUAGCUGAUAACUGGAGACUUCGCAUCUUUGCGAUAAGCAAAAUUGUAGCAGCUGAAGUUUUUGUGCAGCCCAUCUUCUCUAGCUUUUGUUUGAUAAUGAAGCUCAUGUACUCGGCAGAAGCCUUCGGCAAACGGUUCUACCCCCUGGCUUCGGAGGGCCCAUAUGUAGACGCUAAGCCUAACGAUGGCGUUAGGAGUUAGCUGAUGAAGGUAAAUCCCAAACUUCUUCAAAACAUCAGCAAUCAUCUCAUUCAAAGGAAAUCUUAAUCCUGCUUUGAAGAAGCUUUUAAAGACUACCACCUCAUCCUUUUUCGGCUUCGGAGUAACUUCCUCUCCGCCAAAGCGAAUUAGCUCCUUUUUGGCCUCACUGAAAUAGCCUAACUUCAUCAACUUAGGCAUAUCAUCUUCGGUAAUGGUGGACCUCCCAAACUCCAGGUGGCUGGGUUUAGAUGGCACGACACUAUAAUCAUCUUCAGAUUCAUCUUUCUCAUCAUCAACCUGCUCAGCCUCAGCGGUAGGUGCACCUUCGUCAGAAACAUCUUCCGACACUACUAGCCCCGACUGUUUCAUCACUUCGGAAAUCGGAGCGCUCUCAGCAGUUUUAGCUUCUUCUCCGUCAUGUGUAACCCUAGCAGUAGAACGUACCCUUGCCAUUUGAUGAUGAAUUCCUCACAAUUUUUGAUGAAAUUGUUGACUUUUUUAAUUUCCCGAAGCUCUUCCUCUUGUGACGAAGCUAAGUCAACAGCGGUGCUUCGGUUGAGUGCAAUGAACAAGCUUCGGCUAUGGUCAAAUUUUUGGCAGCAAAACAGGGCAAUAGCAAUGAAUGUUGUGGUAACUUCACACCUACUCAUCUGUUUAUAUAGUGCCGCAGGUGGGGAGGUGAAUCGUCAAGUCUUCCGUACCGGACGAACAGUCGCCCGCACUCACUGGGUGGUGGGCCACAGAACCCGAGAAGGUGAAUCGCCAGGACACGUUUACCCGUUGCAUGGUGGGACCAUCCCGCACUCGAAAUUUUGUGAUCGUUUCUCGGCAACGAGCUCAGGGAAGGUGUUUUUCGGAUCUUCGGCUCUCCGAAGCCUAAGAUAUUUUUUUCACGGAUCAAGCUCGUUACGAAAAACGAUCUAGCACCGCGAAGGGGCUACUGUUGGGGGUAUGCUUCGUCGCCGAAGAUCCUGUAAGAAGAUACACCUUUGGCAGAUCCUCUCAAAAGCAGUGCCGAAGCUAUCACCCAUAAAGCUUCGGCAUAGUGACAUGUCUCAAGACGAAGGAGUGAACCGACUUAAAGAUGAAAUGACCAAUCGACCUGUGAUAGCUUGUAUUAUGAUUGUAAGCAUUUGUAAAGGGCAUGAAUGUAAUUUCUCACAGGCUGCGUCUUGUGCCUAUAAAUAGAUGAACAGUACCCCCGUACUGUUCAUGCAAUGUUGUAAUCGCUUGCACGCGACACUCAGAUUAUUGCCUUCUGUCAAGACGAAGGUAUAAAUGUGAUUAAAUGUUAUGUUUUAAUAUUUAAGUUUGUAUGAUGAAAUAUAUGAACAAGUUUAUGUGUUUUGAUAUAUUAUUUUUUCAUGUUUCAUAUUUUAUAUAUUUUAUCUUUCAUUAUUUUAUAAUUCUGGUCACGAAGGUAUGACCUUCGUGACUUUUGUUCAUGACCUUCGUCCGAAGAUCAUCAUACCCUUGAGGAAAUAAUGCUUCAAUGGACGAAGGGCAUUAACAUUUAACAUUUUAUGUUGCCUUGUUCUUAAUUCGAAGCUUUUGAGAACAAGUUCCCAACAAGUCUUAUAAAGACUCAAAAUAGAUAACUUUCUAAACAAUAGGGUAAACCAACAAACUCUGUAAAUCUUGCCUAUCCAUAUUUAAAUCAUUUGUCAACUGACCGCCUCCGCCACGACCUGAAGAUGAUUUGUUGAUCUGGUCCUAGAUGAAUAUCACGAUACCUAGAUUAGGACAAACAAUGAUUCUUCUUCUAGUCAAUCUCAACGGUGCAACGUGCAAGUGCUUAUCCUCCGGCUAUUAAAGGGAAAUGUGCUCUUGAGCCAUUUCUAUAUUAUUUUGGUGAUUAGAUGCACAACAUAUUAUAUUUGAACUAACAUGAUGUUGAGCAAAAGUGUUUGAGGCAAAAUGAGCUUGGAAGAGGACUUAGUGCAAAUCUAGAUGGAUCAAGUAAGAAGGUAUGCUCUGGGCACUGAGUCAAUUGAUUUGUGUGCUAAUCAUGUCUGUCUAAGUGCUAGGGACUUAGUAAAGUCAAGUCCAAAAGGAGCAAAAGAAAACAAAGGAAGAAAUAGGGAAAAGUUGCUGGAAUUUGUAGCACCGGACAGUCCGGUGCACGGUCCGACCCAACUCGCUGCUCUCAGGUUUUUAAGCCUACGUCGGCUAAAAUUCACCGGACGGUCCGCGUGUGGUGCCGGACAGUCCGGUGUACCAGCCAUGCAACAACUAGUUGUUACGUCAGCCUCGGGCCAACGGUCACAUGGCGCACCUAACAAUCCGGUGCCCCAUAGAAGAGGAAACCAAUCAAUCAGGUGAUUCUCUGCCGCGUCCAGUGCGCGUACUAUUCACUGUCCGGUGUGCAUCAGACAGUCCGGUGCGCCAGUGAAAGGGAAAUGGGCCUAACCAUUUCCUAUAAUCGAUUUUGGAGUUUGAAGUCCAUCACAAACCAUAUGGACUAACUAGUUUGUCUAGUUGCUAUUUUUCUCAGGUGCAUAAAAUUCACAUAAAUAACCAAAGAAAGUGAUUUGGGGAACUCUAAAAAGUUUGGAGCAGAAAAAGAAAUUGGUGCAACCAGUGGCACACCGGACACUGUUCGAUGCCCAGGCCGAAGCACCUCGUGAACUGGCCGCUCUCGGGUUUUCUUAGAGCUCAUCCGCUAUAAUUCAUUAGACUGUCAGGUGAGCCAACAGAGCAACGAUCAACUUCGCCAACGGUCGACUGUAGUACAGUCUGAUCGUCAGAAGUCAGAGCCAGUCUACAAAGUCAGAACGCACCGGACUAUCCAGUGCUGCAAGAAGACAGAACACUUCAACAGUCAACAGCUCCAAACCCCAACGGUCGGCUGACGUGGCACUCACCGAACAAUGAACAACAGAGUGUUCGGUGCACCACCGGACUGUCCGGUGUGUCCAUUGACAACAAAGACAGCCAACAGCUAGGAAGUGGUUGGAGGCUAUAAGUACCCCCAACCACCUCCAUUCAAGCCAUCCAAGCUUCUCACUCUUCUUAUUCAAUACAAGAGCAAAGAAUACACUCCAAAGACACAAUCAAAGCAUUCAAUCCUCUCCAAGCUCCAAAAUCAAAUCAAGUGCUUAGUGACUUGAGAGAGGGUGAUUUGUGUUUCUUUUGUUGCUCUUGUUGCUUCGAUUGAUUUCUUCUUCUCACUCUAAAUUUCUCAAGUGUGUUGUAAAGCAAGCAAGAGACACCUACUUGUGUGGUGAUCCUUGCGGGGUCUUAGUGACCCGUGUGAUUAAGAAGAAGCACUCGACCGGUCUAAGUGACCGAUUGAGGGAGGGAAAGGGUUGGAAUAGACCCGACCUUUGUGGCCUCCUCAACGGGGAGUAGGUUCCUUGGAACCGAACCUCGGGAAACAAAUCACAGUGUUCAUUUGUGUUGAUCCUCAUCACCCGAUUUGUUUCUCCCCUCUCCUCUCUCUCUCUCUAAAGUUCCCUUGCUCAUAUAGUUUUGAGUUUGCUCCCAAGGUUAUCCGCAUUGAUUGAGCAACUCAUAGUAAGAGGAACGAUCUUCCGCACUCCGAAUUUAUUUCUAACCCUAACCCCAAGUGUAGUGCGUGUUUAAAGUUUAUAAUUUUCAGGUUUCGCCUAUUCACCCCCCUCUAGGCGACUUUCAAUUGGUAUCAAAGCCUGAUGCCUCAUUAGAGUUUAACAACUUGAAGUGAUGUUGGGAGAACACGCCAAGAGGGAGAUGGUAACCAGCGAAAAGCCCGAAGCUUCGGGAAAGAAGAAUGAAGAACGGACUCCGUCGAAGGAGGCCGGCGACAAGCACAAGGAGCACAAGGAGGAAUCCGCCGGCUCCAUCAAGUCACAUAGGAAGGGUGACGAGGCGCACUUGGGGUGGGAAUGGGACUCCGACAAGAGCUCCACCGACUCCUCCUCUAACGCCACCAACUUCGCCGUCAAUAAAGGUCUUCUCUUCCCAAACUUUGGCCACAAAUGCCUUAUGGCUAAGGAUGGCAAAAAGAAAAAGGUACACUCUAGAGAUACCUCCAAAUAUACUACUUCCGAUGAUGAGGGUAGCUCUAGUGAUGAUAAUGAUGAUUUGACUUCUCUUUUUGCAAACCUUACCAAGGAUCAAAAGAAGGAAAUUAAUGAAUUAAUAGAAACCAUUAACGAGAAGGAUGAUAUCUUGGAAAGCCAAGAGGACUUGCUCGCUAAAGAAAAUAAAAAAAUUGUUAAACUAAAAAAUGCUUAUGCUCUUAAAGUAGAAAAAUGUGAAAAUUUAUCUAAAUAGCUUAAUAUUUGCAAUGAUUCAAUUUCUUAUCUUAGAACUGAAAAUGCUAGUUGUUAGGGGCCUUCGUCUUCCGAAGGUCCUCAAAAACAUGAUUAACAAUGUUUCCCAAGUGUAAUAUAUGUACAGGAACCUUCGGACUCGGAAUAAAGCUAUACACAAUAUGAAAAGCAUGGUCGAGACGAAGGUUGAACCAGCUCCGAAGCUACACGCAAGGGAGCUUCGGCUCAGCGGCAGAAAAAAGAGCCAACUUAAAGGGGAAAAGGCUAUCUAGUCCUCGUUGGAUUGUCCUUAAGUCAAUAGUAAAAAAGGGCGUGAAUGUAAUUUUACACAGGCUGCGCCCUGUGCCUAUAAAUAGAUGAAUAGUACCCCCGUACUGUUCACGCUGUCAAGCCGAAGGUACAAAUGUAAUUCGAUAUUGUUUAUGUUAAUUCAUGAUGAUAUAAUAAAGAUAUAAAUGUUGUCAUAUGAUUAUUCAUGUUAUUUCUCAUGUUUCAUAUGCUUCUCCUUCCAUUAAUAUAUACUGCGAUGAUGAAGGUACGUCCUUCACAACCUUCGUCUGAAGAUCAUUAUAUCCCAAGGGAGAUAAUGCUUCGAAGGACGAAGGGCGUUAACCAUUAACAUUUUUGUGUUGCCUUGUUCUUAAUUCAUAGCAUUUAAGAACAAGUCCCCAACAUUUGCGCCCACCUCCGGUGUACUCACUUCCACAAUCUUCGGCAAAGCAUCAACCUUCGUCAUACCGCCAAAGAAGACAACAGCGCCAGGGGCUGCACUGCAGCCACUGGACACAAACCAAGAGACUCUCUCUCUCCAAGAGGCCAGAAGCCAAAAGAGAAAGGCCGCCAGUCCAACACUUCAGGAGGAGGAGUUGGACCAGGAGAUCAGGGACCUAGAAGUCAUUCACCAGCAAGUGCAAAGGAAAAAGGAGAAGAUGGCCCAGCUGGCCGACCUUCAGAAGAAUAUAGACGAAGCUGCUGAGGAAGUGUGUCAUCUUACUCAAGAUGAUCAUGACCGAAGGCCCCAACACAGGAAGCUUUGCCAAAAAGGCCCAUUCAACGAAGAUGAAUGGUACGAUGAUUUUUAUCAUGUUAGCUUUACUUUUGAUGAUGCUUCUCCCCUGACAGCAGAAUUGCAGGCUAUUCCAUGGCCACAAUCCUACAAGCCACCUCAGUUACCCAUGUACGAUGGGCACUCAGACCCAAAGCAAUUCUUGAUGAGCUAUGAGGCAACAAUAUCCUCAUAUGGAGGCAACACAGCUGUCAUGGCAAAGUCCUUCGUCAUGGCAGUCCGAAGUGUGGCUCAGACAUGGUACUCUUCUCUCCGGCCAGGGACAAUCACGUCAUGGUAGAAGCUCAAGGACAUGCUGGUUACCAGUUUUCAAGGCUUUCAGACGAAGCCAGUCACAGCUCAGGCCUUGUUCCAGUGCACACAAGACCAUGAGGAAUACCUUUAGGCGUAUGUAUGAAGGUUCUUGCGUCUGAGAGCACAAGCACCCACAGUUCCCAAUGAAAUCGUCAUUGAGGCCAUGAUUAAGGGUCUUCGGCCAGGGCCUACGGCCCAAUACUUCGCCAGGAAACCCCCCAGACUCUGGAGAAGCUGCUUCAGAAAAUGGAUGAGUACUUUCGGGCUGAUAAUGACUUCCGACAAAGAAGAGAGGAAGCUUAUAGAUUUUCUGAGAUGAUUAGGGGCUUCGGAGGAAGAAUCCACCCUAGGCAUGUCAGAUCAAUCCAUAGGUCCAGUCAGAAUGAUGAUAAAGGAAGCCAGUUUCAGAGGCCACAGCAUAGCUUGCAGUCUUCGAGACAGUAGCAAAGCUCCUUUAGGCCACUAGCUCCAAGGGGCGGAGGCGGCAGGGGCUUCGGAGGCAGAUAUGGGGAUCAGCCCAGGAAAAUCUAUUGAUUGUUCUGUGGUGAAGAUAAGGGCCACACGACAAGAACAUGCCAGAUUACCAUUCAAAAGCAAAAAGAGAUCGCCGAAGCAGAAGCCCGGCAGAAUCAGCCGAAGUAGGUCCUACAUACUGCUUCGUGCCACUCUCCCUACAUACCAGAAUAUGUGGGCAACCAACCUGCAGCUUAUGUUGCUUUGGCAAGCCACUCACAAGCUUCCUGGCCCCAGCUCCCACCGCCACCACCAUUGCAACUCACUUAUACCCGAAGCCAGCAGCCAGAAGGGCGCCAGCACUCCCAACAACAACGUGACUUCAAGGAGGAGUCCGAAGCUCGUACAGUCAACAACAUUGUACCAGAAUCAAAGCACAUAUACUGAGCAAUAUCCUACUUCUGAAAUACUUUUAUCUUCUAUGCCAUUUUGCUUUUUGAAUAAGGAACAAGCAAUGAAAACUUAGUUUUAAUUACUUUUAAUGAUUUUGCUUCUACCAGAAUGAAAUAUAUCUUCAUCACAGAUUUACGAAGCUCAAAAAUCGUUCCUAAGGGAAUGCAGAGCCAAUACAAAUGAAGCUACAAAAAGUCGUUCCUAAGGGAGCGCAGCGUAAGUUUUUUGCUCAAAAGUCGUUCCUAAGGGAAUGCAGAGCCAAAAUUGACGAAGCUACAAAAAGUCGUUCCUAAGGGAGCACAAUGUAAGUUUUCUGCUCAAAAGUCGUUCCAAAGGGAAUGCAGAGCCAAAUACCGCCGAAAUAUCAGGCGAAGAAGUUCAAAAGUCGUUCCUAAGGGGAUGCAGAACUUAUACCGCCGAAAUAGAAGGCGAAAAAGUUCAAAAGACGUUCCUAAGGGGAUGCAGAACUUAGAUCACCGAAAUAGAAGGUGAAGAAGCUCAAAAGUCGUUCCUAAGGGGAUGCAGAGCUUGUGUGUUCUAGUGUGGGCGUGUGGGUGUGUGUCUUCAGUAUCCUCAUUAUUUUGCAUCAUAUCAUCACAUCAUUUCUCAUAACAUUACAUCAUACAUCAUAUUGCAUCAACGGCACAAGAAUCAAAUAUGAAGCCAAUCUUCGGCAAAUGCUUCGUCAAAAUGAAAAUGUGCUAAGGCACAAAGUAAAAUUUGGGAAAUACAGUUUUAUCAGCCGUGUCACAAGAAGGGAUCUCUUUCUUUACGAAGCAUGAAAAGAAGGAAAGGUGUUUUUUCGCCGAAGGCUCAAAAAUGGUAUGUGCGUAAAUUUCAUGCAUCGCAAAGAAAUAAACUGCAAUAAUUUACAUAUUCAAUUCAACAUUACAUACUUCAAAUAUUACAUAGUUUUGUUACAAUAGAAGCCUAAUCUUCCUUCAUUUGUUAUAUACAUCAAGCUUUUAAAAAUGAUUAUUACAAUAAAACUUAUUCCUCUUUAAGGACUUUCUCUGCAACUUCAUUCAGUAAUUUGUUGACGACCUCAUCGAUAAUGGAUUCAGCCAUGCUUAUGAUAUCCAAUGAUUCCUUCAUCUCUGGAUCAACUAGGGGAUUGUACGGCUCUGGAGGCGGGGAUAGUUCAGCUGAAGUAGGUAAACAAGAUUAGUUCGAAGCCAAAAAGCAAGUACCGAAGCUAAAUAAUCAAGAAAUAAUACCUAUACGCCUUUCGCAUUAUGUAGCUUCUUCAGCUCGCUUUGCGUCUGCUCGGGCAUCGUUGGUGUCUUUUUCACUCUUUUUUAUAAUCUCAUGGGCCAGCUCUCGGCCAUUGUUCACCCAGACAUCGUUAUAAAAUUUCCCGCCCAUUAAAGUUGCUUCGGUUGAAGGAUCCUUCGUAUCAUCUAUGGAGAAGGCAGCUUCGGCUUGGGCUAUGGCCUUAACGUGAUCACAUCCGGCCUUCUCCAGAAUAGCUGAGAUUCCCCACGCACCGGAAAACACACAAACAUCCCCGCGAUCACUCAAAAUUUCCUCGAAGGCUUCAGCUUCUCCACUUAUCCAUUCAACAACGCCUUCGGGGUCGCCUCGUACGAAGUUCUCUUCAGAAGAUUAGGCGCCCACUUUGGAGAAGCUAGUUUUUAUUUUCUUCACACAAUCCAAGGAUUUUUUGAAACACCUUUCCUUGGACUCGUGAAGCUCUUCAACAUUUUUCUCUAGCUUUUUUCUCCAGUAUUCACUGAUCUCUUGCUUAUGCUCUGCGAGAGCGCACUUCUCACUAGCUUCGGCCAGUUGUCUCCGAAGGUCUUCAACCUUAGCCUUUUGAGCUUCGGCUUGAGCGUUGUAUUUUGUCUCGUCUUCUUUUAUUUGUUCUACCAAUGAAAUCAAAAUCUUGUCUUUCUCUAGACCUUCAUUUCUUAGCUCAAUCACCUCGGUCCGAAGGUUGUUGAGUGCUAUGGUACAACUCUCGUCUUCAGUAUUCUUUUGUGCCCUAAGGCAUUACUAAGAAUCAAGCCCUGUAAAAAAGAAGAAAGAAUUGAGUAUUACAAUGAAAUACUUCGUUUCCAACUUCAAAGUUAACUUUUAUACCUUUAUACUGUUGUAUGCUAGGCUGUCAGCAAUAUCAUCCUUCGACAAAAUCGAAAGGCCAUCUUCCAGCUUGGGGAAUCCCAUACUCUUAGCUAUCUCCCGGCAAACGGAUAUUUCUUUGUUGUCCGGGAGACAAUAUAAGAAGUCGUCAUCGUUAGUGUCGUUAAACAUUAAAGCUCCCUUCGGAUAUUUCAAUUUUCGCGCAUAGUGUCUGGCUUCCAGAACUUCUUCGGACAACUUUUUCCCCGAAGCAUGACGAUAAAUAUAAUCAGCAUCCUCGACAGCGGCUUCGGGGGCAGGAGAUUUUGCCCUUUCUCCCGCGUCUGGUCCUUCUGCCAUGCCAACGUCUGAAGCCUAUGGAUCAGCUAUAUCUUCAAGCAUGACAGCCUUCGUCUCAAUAGGCGCUGAAGGCCCAACUUCGGCCACAUCUUGGACUUUGGUAGCUUCAGCAUCUUUUUUAGUAGCUCCAGGGCUCAAGGCCUUUGUAGUCUCCAAGACAGCGAACAACACAUUGGCCAUUCUCCUCCUCUUGGGAGUUGCGGCAGGAGCCUUUUGCACCUUCGGCAAACUUGCCUCAGCUGGUGGGCUCAGAAUUUCAGGCAUUUUCUCUAUUUUUUCCGCCUGUGGCUCUUCGGCCUUAACAGUCUUAGCUUCGGCUGCUCCGACUGUAGGUACCUUCAGCACUACAGUCGGCUCUUCAAUGCUCUGCAAAAUCUAAGUAGAUUGUCGAGCUUCGGCAGUUGAAGAGGCCCCCUCACCAAAUUCAGGCACUACGGCCGGUUCAAUGUAUCGUGGCCGGUGGGUCAGGACCUUCACCUUCUUGCCUUUCGACACAACAGUAAUGGCCGAAGCGAUAGUUUUUCUUUUCUUCCCUUGCCUUUGCGGCGGGUAGUGAUAAUCAGGGUAUACGAAGCCAAUGGCAUCAAAUACUUUGUUUAAUCUUUUCUUCCCUCGGCCCCUGAAGGUUGCGGCCAAGGCAUCAUCUUCAGCCCUGCUAUAUGCUCCAAGUAGUUCGCCGCUAAUAGCCUCAAUACUUUUUAGCCAAUCGUCAUUUGGCUCAUCAAACCGGUCUCUGAACCUGAAGGUGUAUUUCAAUCGAACCAACCCACCUUCAGUUGACUCGGCGGUAGUAUCCUUCGGCAUAUCCCAGUAUUCUACAAGUGGCCAUAUUUUGUACGCUAUGUGCUCUUGAACUAUAUCCCUUGUACCGAAGAAGGCGCAAACGUUGCUAAAAGCCUUCUGGCAUGCUUUGUCUUUCUGAUCAAUUAUCACCUUCGGCCUCUGAAGGCCGAAGCGAGACCAGAUAGGGAGUUGGAUGAUUUCCUUAAUGUCUUCUCUUUCAAUUAGAUCAUUCUUGACGUAAAACCAUUCUUCCAUCCAGGCCCUAGGCCAUCUCUUUCGGAAUGUGGGAACUGGAUAGCUUGCAUUGGAUCGAGCGAUGAAUCCGUAACAACCGAAGUUGUUGUGAUACUCCUCCUUCCCGGUGGCCUUCGUCUCGUACAGAAGUUCAUGCAUGCUACAAAAACACCUUGCGCUUGGUUCCAAUCCUUGACUUCUCAUAGCCCAAAUAAACAAACCCAUCCUGAUUAUAGCUUUAGGGGUAAGUUGAUGACGAAAGAUCUGAAACGUCUUCAGUACUUCGACCAAGAAUUUGCUCAACAGGAACCGAAGCCCUGCUUUCAAAAAGCUUCGAUAAAUAACCACCUCAUUUACUUCAGGAGUAGGAGCAGCGCUGUCUCCUCCAACCCUCAUAAUAGUCAUGUCCCGGAAGUACCUCCCUCUCAUAGCAUUAACAUGAUUUUCUUUAAUAGUCGACUUUCCGAAGAUGGCAUGGCUUGGUCACCACGGCCGAUCUUCAGAGUCCUCGUCUCCACUUUCUGCGUCAUAACUAUCACUGUCAUCAGUAUCUUCAGACAAACCCUCCAGUAUCUCUUUAGUAAUCUUCUCUGUGUUUGUUAUUGACAUAAACUCAAAAAAUCUGGCGAUAAAAGGAUCUGCAUCUUUCCUUUCUUCAAACAACUUCGUCUCCUCACUUAGCUCGUCUCCUCAGUCAUCUUUUCCUCAGACAUGGUGCAAACACGUCUUUAAACCAAAGCUCAGAAAAGCUUGAAAAUCAGGCGAGAGCUAGAGAGCAAGAGCUAAAAAGUUUGAGAAAAUAACGCAAUGGCAGAAAUGGCGUAUAAAAUGUUGCCGGUGUGGGUACAUAUUUAUACGCCCAGUGCGUUGCAAUUUGGACGACCCCAUUUGUCAUUGACUAUUGCUAUUCUAGCAAAGGGAAGGUGUUUUUUCAUACCUUCGACUUAAGGCCUUCGUUCACGUCGCAGUCUGGAUUCGAUAUUAUAACAAAUUAAUACUGCGAGGGGCUACUGUUGAGGGCCUUUGUCUUCCGAAGCUCCUCAAAAACAUGAUUAAUAAUGUUUCCCAAGUGUAAUGUUUGCCUCGUGUUGAGUUUGCUUACAACCGUUCACAACAUUCUACUACUAAAAAGAGCCCUUUUGAGAUUGUUUAUGGAUUUGUACCUCGUGCCCCUAUUGAUUUGCUGCCUCUACCAACUUCUGAGAGAUUGAAUUUUGAUGCUAAACAAUGUGCUGAGUUGACGUUGAAAAUGCAUGAGACCAUAAAGGAGAACAUAGAAACCAUGAAUGCUAAAUAUAAACUUGCUGGUAGUAGAGGAAAGAAGCAUGUCACUUUUGAACCAGGUGAUUUGGUUUGGCUGCACUUGAGAAAGGAUCGAUUUCCUGAUUUGAGGAAGUUAAAGUUGCUUCCGAGAGCCGAUGGCCCUUUUAAAGUUGUAGCUAAGAUCAAUGAUAAUGCAUACAAACUUGAGUUGCCUGCAGAUUUUGGGGUUAGCCCCACAUUUAACAUUGCAGAUUUGAAACCAUAUUUGGGCGAGGAAGAUGAACUUGAGUCGAGGACGACUCAAAUGCAAGGAGAGGAUGAUGAGGACAUCCCUCCCAAUGAUACACCCAUACCUAAUACGCAGCAAGGACCAAUGACAAGAGCUCGUGCACGAGAGCUAAAUUAUCAGGUAAACUCGUUCCUCGCUGUCCAUAAACCAUCAUCCAUGAAUGGGGUACUACUAAAUUCUUGUGAUGCUUUUCUUAUUCAUAGGAACUUCGGACAUGAACCAGAUUGGAGGAAGAGCAAUCACGACAAGAAAGCAAGUGUGGAUGAUCUGAUCGGACCAUACCAGUUCGGACCUACAGGAGGGAGCAACUUCGGAAGGCCAUAACUCUUAGCUCCGAAUAUUGUUUUAAGCCCAUGAGUACUUAUUGGAAAGCUCCUGAACUCCACUUUCAGAUGGAUUCAACCUCAAGACGAAAUUUCAAAGGAGUUAAGCAGAAUUGCCAAAAUGACGUUCACUCUUCCACUCUUGGGCUGAGACCCAGUCUUGGGAUGAGGCCUUUGUAUCUAGUUUAGACCACUAGGGGCCCAUUCUAAGUUAGGGUUUACACCCCUCCAUGCCUCUUGGCUGCUCCCCCACCUAUAUAAACCACCAGCAGCCACCAUUUGAGACUUGGGUUUUGUUUGGUUGUAAGUUUAGCUGCUGCUACU
RNAcentral lists this long non-coding RNA (40164 nucleotides) under Zea mays. Its description in RNAcentral is "long non-coding RNA (ZMAY_LNC000346)". The record is from RNAcentral. Lineage: Eukaryota; Viridiplantae; Streptophyta; Magnoliopsida; Poales; Poaceae.